This 1980-nucleotide long non-coding RNA is filed under the name Linum usitatissimum (flax). RNAcentral's name for it is "long non-coding RNA (LUSI_LNC003069)". Lineage: Eukaryota; Viridiplantae; Streptophyta; Magnoliopsida; Malpighiales; Linaceae. The record is from RNAcentral.
UAAAUCCACUCAGUUUGAGACAAUGCUAGAAGAACACGCCUCCUUAUCAGAGUAUUGCCGGCGAGUUCAAACAGCCACGCGCGCCGAGUUCAAGACGGCGCUGGAGGAACAAACUCCCUUUCAUGAGUAUCGUUGGUGGGUAUAAAAUAGUGGCUCAUUAGAGAAUAUUUUAUCUUCGUUGGUUGGUAUAAAAUAUUGCCUCUUGAGAGCUAAUUCGCCCUGCCGAUCUGGUAAUUUUCAACUGAACUUUCAAUAUCGAUCUUCUACCAUACUAACAAUUGAUUCUAAGUGAGCUUGACGAUUUUAUAAUUACUUUUGUUAUUUUGAUGAAACUAUAAUUUUACUUUUGUUGAUGCCCAGUAUGCAUUUACCAACAAAACUUGGGAUCUAUCACAUGCCAAGGUUGUUUUUUAUUCUAAGUAUGAAAAUGAGUUUGGGUACUAGUGAAAAUUGAAUUUAUUUUAGCGAAGAUAUUAGUGGAUUAUGGUCUGAGUAGGAUUGAGAUAAUUUGUCUGUGUGUGUGGUAUUGAGUGAGAGUUAAUUAUUGCUUUCUCAACAUGUGGAUACUGGUCGCUUGAUCACGUAAGAGAUAUUGCUCGAUCACCACACAUUAAUUUCUUAGUCAGAUAAUUAUGCUAUCUGUUUUUGUGAAAGAUUGUUAGUUGAUUCUUGGAAUUGCAGUAAUUAUGGACUCUCAUAGGAAUGAGCGUGUAGUCAUUCUCUAUGUUGUCUGUUAUAAAGCUUAAGGAUUGAGGCUCCUAACCUGAUGUAUAAAAUAUAAUGAACAAAUGGAAAUCCUUCCAUUUGAGCUACCAAAUGAAAAGGUACGAAGUCAAAUUAUAUUUUUGUUUGGGUACGCUUUUGUGUAUGCAUAAGAAUCAUGAUGCUGAAACGUUUAUAUGGAUAACGUCUGAGGCGGGCCGUUGCUUCUCAUAUAUACUCAUACGCAUAAUAAAGAAAUUCUUUUUCCUUCUGUUCGGUUUGGCAGGGUUCACUGCAAAAGUCUGAUGAGUGUUGGGACAUGGUUGUUUUGUGUUGGUUUGUUCUCACCAAAUAAGCAAGCUAGAUGGAUUCGAUGCAUUUUCGAGCCAUGCAGAGUUUGGUUUGGCAGGCUUUUUGGAGGUGGGUUGGUAUUUUUGAUAUGGUAUAUUUUUGGGCAUGGUUUGAUGCCCCAUUUUACUAUUGUCUUUUCUGUCUUGCUGGGUAGAGUUUGUGUUGGGUGAUGGGUUUGGUUGCUGGGAAGUAUGUGCGGCUUGGUUUCUGCAAUAAUUGAGUUUUGUUGGGUUGUUUUGGGUCUCUUUUGUGACCCUUGGCCAUGAACAAUGAGUUGAUGUUCUGCAUUUACAUUUUACAGGCAUUGAGAUGCUCAGAAUUUUUAUAUAUGACCAUUUAUUUUUGUGUAUUUCACAGGAAUCAUAUCUGUCCUAAGCUUCUAACCUACUCGAUGAUUAUAAGAAAAGUAAUUUUUAAUUAAUGCAUAUAUGCCAACAUGAACAUUAUAUGUACAGUAUAUGCUUCACAUUUAUAAAUUGGUCUCUUUUUUCUAUGUUGUGAUGCUUGAAGGCACCGUCUUAGACUUGGAGUUAUAAAGGGUAGAACUUCUUAAAGGAUGUAACUUAAUUGUGUAUGUUAUAUCACAAUAGGCAACUGAGUUUUCUUUAUUCUGCUAUGCCUGGAGAUGACAAUGAGGUAUAUUAGAUAGUUGGAUAGUAAAAUGGAGAGAAUGAAAUUUUCUUAUGAGACAAUGUUUUCUAAUGAAAUGAGUGAUGAUUUGUGUGCAAUCUUCUGUUUUUUUAUGAUUCAUUUUUCUCUGUUGAUUACUGUAGAUUGUUGACGGCAGAUUGAUCUUCGUCGAAGUAGUGAAAACUAUAAAACUUGGAGAUGGAUAAGGAUAGUUACACCUUAUGAGAGAAGUGUCAUUUUGUUGUACUCUUUACUUGGUCGUUCUGUCGGUCAAGUGUGUUAAGUUACACAUUAUUU